This 319-nucleotide long non-coding RNA is filed under the name Gouania willdenowi (blunt-snouted clingfish). Its description in RNAcentral is "lncRNA (ENSGWIG00000010623.1)". The record is from RNAcentral. Lineage: Eukaryota; Metazoa; Chordata; Actinopteri; Blenniiformes; Gobiesocidae.
AGCUCACUCUGUCACCAUGUAUGCAAUUAUAAAUCAUUUCUCUGGGUUUGACUUGUUUCCCUUUUCUCCACAGGGCGUGUGUGGAGACUACACUCACAGGAAGCGGCGUAUUGUACAGCCCUGUGUUGGACGUGUGGCCACACAGGGUGAACCUGGACUGCAAGGACCUCCUGGACCCCCAGGGGCCCCGGGCUUGAAUGGAGCUAAUGGACUACCAGUAAGUCACGUUUCUCCUUUAUUCUGGAAUCAAAGCCUCAUAGAUCAAUAAAUCACAGAUCAGUUGCUCGGAAAAAAACAAAAAAAAAAACAUGUUAGAAGA